GACAGAGGUGCCAAGCGUUAGGCGGAAUCACUGGGCUUAAGGCGUGUGUAGGCGGAUCGUUAAGUACCUUGUGAAAUCCCACGGCUCAACCGUGGAACUGCUGGGUAUACUGGCGAUCUUGAGCCACCUAGGGGCGAGCGGAACAAGCGGUGGAGCGGUGAAAUGCGUAGAUAUCGCUUGGAACGCCAAUGGUGAAAACAGCUCGCUGGGGGUGUGCUGACGCUGAGACACGAAAGCCAGGGGAGCGAACGGG
This 253-nucleotide ribosomal RNA is filed under the name uncultured bacterium. RNAcentral describes it as "partial 16S ribosomal RNA". It matches the Rfam family "Bacterial small subunit ribosomal RNA", at positions 524 to 776 of the family's 1533-position model. The record is from RNAcentral.